Molecule: ribosomal RNA, 942 nt
Filed under: Rhyacodrilus falciformis
Lineage: Eukaryota; Metazoa; Annelida; Clitellata; Tubificida; Naididae
Description: eukaryotic LSU rRNA
Rfam family: 5.8S ribosomal RNA (bases 465-617)
Source: RNAcentral
GUAGGCGAACCUGCGGAAGGAUCAUGACCGUGAUGACGAGACAAAGUCUUUUGCAUGAACAGUCUUCGAUCAACUCACACACACACAUUUUCGUACGGACAGCGCACAAGGCGAGCCCGAAAGGCUGGCCCAAAACGACACGGUUGUCGCGCGUUUCGGGGUACCKGGCCGGCGCSGUSUAUGCGCCGGGGGAGCGGCGGRCGAAUGACUUCGUUUUUGCSCGUYGUCUAUUCGCGUGAUCCGACGGUCACCGACCGCACGGCGACGGUUCAAARAACUAACCGACURCUGCUGCAGCGUCGACAGCGUCGACUGCUUARAGCACCAGUCGGUCCGYCGCCCCGUACGCGUACGUUUUUUCCGUYUUACUUUUCACUACAGUCGCUAUAAGAAUCGUCUUCGUCGUCGGCGUUCGAAAGACUUCGGCGGCGACGACCGAGUUCUGUGACAGACAAAUAUCAUAAAACUCUAAGCGGUGGAUCACUCGGCUCGUGUGUCGAUGAAGAGCGCAGCCAGCUGCAUGAAGUAAUGUGAAUUGCAGGACACAUUGAACAUCGAUAUCUUGAACGCACAUUGCGGCCUCGGGCAUUCUCGAGGCCACGCCUGUCUCAGGGUCGGUUGAAAGUAUCUAUCGCGAGUCGUCUCUUGCUCGCGCAGUGGACCGUCGCGACGGCGGUGCAACAACGUUCGGKCGUCUCUUGCCGUUCGYCKUCUAGCCUGCCGCCGCGUGGUCCGAAAUUCAGACGGUUCGCGUCGGUUGCGCGACGCUAUACCGCACGUCUCCAUACCGCUUCGUCCAUGAAUCAGCGGGACGGUUGCUCGGAUGCUCUCCUCAUCUGCAGAGUUCUAAGAGCCGUUGUCGCUGCUGCUGUCSUCGUUGUCSGGGAGGCGCGCAUCUCUCGACUAAACAACGAUUUUCGACCUGAGAUCAGACUGUAGUAC